RNAcentral lists this ribosomal RNA (460 nucleotides) under uncultured bacterium. RNAcentral's name for it is "partial 16S ribosomal RNA". It matches the Rfam family "Bacterial small subunit ribosomal RNA", at positions 338 to 795 of the family's 1533-position model. The record is from RNAcentral.
CCUACGGGUGGCAGCAGUGAGGAAUAUUGGUCAAUGGACGAGAGUCUGAACCAGCCAAGUAGCGUGAAGGAUGACUGCCCUAUGGGUUGUAAACUUCUUUUAUAUGGGAAUAAAACGUUCCACGUGUGGGAUUUUGUAUGUACCAUAUGAAUAAGGAUCGGCUAACUCCGUGCCAGCAGCCGCGGUAAUACGGAGGAUCCGAGCGUUAUCCGGAUUUAUUGGGUUUAAAGGGAGCGUAGGUGGAUUGUUAAGUCCGUUGUGAAAGUUUGCGGCUAAACCGUAAAAUUGCAGUUGAAACUGGCAGUCUUGAGUACAGUAGAGGUGAGCGGAAUUCGUGGUGUAGCGGUGAAAUGCUUAGAUAUCACGAAGAACUCCGAUUGCGAAGGCAGUUCACUGGACUGCAACUGACACUGAGGCUCGAAAGUGUGGGUAUCAAACAGGAUUAGAUACCCCUGUAGUC